RNAcentral lists this ribosomal RNA (433 nucleotides) under uncultured bacterium. RNAcentral describes it as "partial 16S ribosomal RNA". It matches the Rfam family "Bacterial small subunit ribosomal RNA", at positions 28 to 507 of the family's 1533-position model. The record is from RNAcentral.
GACGAACGCUGGCGGCAUGCCUAACACAUGCAAGUCGAACGAGACCUUCCUGUCUAUUGGCGCACGGGUGCUUAACGCCGGGGAAGCUGCCCUUAGGUUCGGAAUAACUCCCCUAAAGGUGUGCUAAGACCGGUUAAUGUCUUCGGACCAAAGAGUUAUUGCCUUUGGAUGGGGCCUGGUUAGAUUAGCUAGUUGGUAGUGGAAAAGCGUACCAAGGACACGUUCCAUAGCUGGUGUGUUAGCAUGACCAGUCACAAUGGGAAUGCGACACGGCCUAGAACGCUACGCAGGGGAGCAGUAGGGAAUAUUGGACGAUGAGCCAAAGCGUGACAAAGCAACGCGGGGUGAGUGAUGCAGGCGUUAGGGUUGUAAAGCUGCUUUAGCCGGGAUGAUAAUGACAGUAACGGGUGAAUAAGCACCGGCUAACUACGUG